CAACUUUUAGAUUCAACCCAAUUCCACAAAUCAGUGUGCUCUCUCUCUCUCUCUCUCUCUCUCUCUCUCUCUCUGUGUAAAUUUUAUUUUGAUAUUUUGUUGUGUUGUCCAAAAGAACUCAUCUAGGAAGACGAAACUGGUGUGCGAUGAAGAAGCUGAACCACCAGCUGGGAUCUCACGCGCCGUCGCCUCUAAAGGAAGGCUUCUACUUUGUUUUAAUAAUCUUAUUCCUAAUGGAAAUUGCUGGAGCUCAAACUACAAGAAAUGCCACCGUUGAUCCUUCUGAAGGUUCUCCUCUCUCUCUCUCUCUCUCUCUCUCUCUCUCUCUCUCUCUCAGUGUAUCUGUAC
This 348-nucleotide long non-coding RNA is filed under the name Olea europaea subsp. europaea. Lineage: Eukaryota; Viridiplantae; Streptophyta; Magnoliopsida; Lamiales; Oleaceae. The record is from RNAcentral.